UAGAGCACUCGCCUUCUAAGCGAGUGGUUGCAGGUUCAAGUCCUGCCGG
Molecule: transfer RNA, 49 nt
Filed under: Diaphanoeca grandis
Lineage: Eukaryota; Choanoflagellata; Acanthoecida; Stephanoecidae
Description: partial tRNA
Rfam family: tRNA
About the family: Transfer RNA (tRNA) molecules are approximately 80 nucleotides in length.
Source: RNAcentral